Long non-coding RNA from Cryptomeria japonica (Japanese cedar), 1264 nucleotides. RefSeq lists it as uncharacterized. The transcript is spliced from 2 exons. NCBI's taxonomy places the organism in Eukaryota, Viridiplantae, Streptophyta, Pinopsida, Cupressales, Cupressaceae. The record is from RefSeq and is a predicted model, not a curated record.
CUCCUCUUUGAUAGGUUAUUAUUUUAUAUUUUGUAUGUAUUUCGUCAUAUAGGGUAGUAGUGGAAGUCCUCACGCUGAUGAAAAUUUGCGUUACCAUCUUUGGCACUGAUGAGGCUCUCUAGGAAGCUUAGGUGGGAUUUUCGGCUUGGGAUUGAUUUUUGGGGGAAACUAUCAAGAUAAUCCCUGUGAGAUUUACAUCGGAUUUCUUGGAUCCAAAUUGUAAGAGUUUAGCUGUUUUGAAAUUUUAGGGCAUGAGGAAAAUUUGGGCAAUCUGCAACAAGUUUUGUGGGACUGUUAAUAUGGUUUACAACAGCUGUGUUUGGCCAAUUAAAAUCUACUACUGCAUUAUUUUGCACAAUGGUUAACCGAUUAUUGCAACGAGGAGAAGACAUGGGUUUUCUCACGAGGCAUAGACAAGGUCCCCCAAUUGUUUGUCAGGAUGCCUCAAAGAGACGUGUUCUCAUGGAUUGCAAUGAUUGCAGGAUAUGCACAUAAUGGAUUUCCUGAAAAAUCUUUAGAGUAGGUAUGAAGCCAGCCUGCACUACCUUUACCAGCAUUCUCCCUACUUGUGCCAAAAUGGGAGCUUUAGAAUGGACAUGGAAAUCCAUCGAAGCGUAAAGUUGUAGUUGCAGCUGCCUUGAUAUAUAUGUAUGCAAAAUGUGGAAGCAUUGAUAAGGCAUGUGAACUGUUUGACAAAAUAUCUCAAAGAAAUGUAAUUUUAUGGAAAGUUAUGAUUGCGGGAAAUGCACAAAAUGGGUUUGGUGAAAAAGCUCUAGGAACUUUCAAGCAAAUUCCAUUGGCAGGUGUAAAGCCAAUUCCACAACCAUUGACAGCAUCAUCUCUGCCUGUGCCAAAAUGGGAGCUUUAGAACAGCGUAUGGACAUACAUAAAAGCACAACGAAGAGAGAAAUAUUGUCAACUGUUGUAGUUGCAACUGGCCUGGUAGACGUGUAUGCAAAAUGUGGAGGCAUUGACAAGACAAGUGAACUGUUCUAAAGAAUACCUCAAAGAAGUGUGAUUUCAUGGAAUGCCAUGAUUGCAGGAUAUGCUCAAACUAGAUUUGUUGGUAAGGCAUUUGAAACUUUCAAGCAAAUGCACUUGGAAGGUGUUAAGCCAAAUUCUACAACCUUUGCCACAAUUCUCCCUGCCUGUGUCAAAAUGGGAGCUUUGGAAUAGGGUAUGGACAUCCUUCAAAUCAUAAAGGGUAGAGGAGUUUUGUCAGAGCUGUUUCUUUGCUUUCAAUUUAUGUGGCUAAUUGGUGACA